GACGAACGCUGGCGGCGUGCCUAAUACAUGCAAGUAGAACGCUGAAGGAGGAGCUUGCUUCUCUGGAUGAGUUGCGAACGGGUGAGUAACGCGUAGGUAACCUGCCUGGUAGCGGGGGAUAACUAUUGGAAACGAUAGCUAAUACCGCAUAACAGUAGAUAUCGCAUGAUAUCUACUUGAAAGGUGCAAUUGCAUCACUACCAGAUGGACCUGCGUUGUAUUAGCUAGUUGGUGAGGUAACGGCGCACCAAGGCGACGAUGCAUAGCCGACCUGAGAGGGUGAGCGGCCGCACUGGGACGGAGACACGGCACAGACGCCUACGGAAGGCAGCAGUAGGGAAUCGUCGGCAAUGGGCGGAAGUCUGACCGAGCAACGCCGCGUGAGUGAAGAAGGUUUUCGGAUCGUAAAGCUCUGUUGUAAGAGAAGAACGAGUGUGAGAGUGGAAAGUUCACACUGUGACGGUAUCUUACCAGAAAGGGACGGCUAACUACGUG
This 495-nucleotide ribosomal RNA is filed under the name uncultured bacterium. RNAcentral's name for it is "partial 16S ribosomal RNA". It matches the Rfam family "Bacterial small subunit ribosomal RNA", at positions 28 to 507 of the family's 1533-position model. The record is from RNAcentral.